CCCACUUAGGUGACACAUGGGGACAGGUUGCCUUGAGUGGGCUAGAGUUGAGUACUUCCCUUCCCCAGGUCAGUUAGGGUCUGAUAAAACCCCAGCAGCUCAGGCUCUGGUUAAUUAGUGUCUCCUGCUGGCUGGCUUAUUUAAGAAGAACAGAGUGCUCUGGCAUAUUUCAGAAUGGUUCCUUUUCCCCUUCCUCUGCCAGAAGCAGGAGGAGAUUUUUCUGUGGUAUUUACUGUGGGAAUCUUGUUGAGCUCCUAGAGGCAAAUUUCACAUAUAGGUGGAGGGCUACAAUCGGGUCCCCUUGGAGUUUAUCACUCUGAGACUUGUCCACACUGAAACCCAGCAAUUCAUCAGUUACAGUUCAGGUUUUCAACCCUGGCACUUGUUCCCACAGUGGAUUCAACUUGUCAGUCUCGGCUCUGCAGAAGAAAUUUUACAAGAAACAGAAGAAAUCACAGAAGCAGACCAUAGGUGGAGAGAGUGGUGGGAGAACAGCCCAUGGAAGAUGAGGAUGUGAAAGAAAAACACCCAGCUGGUCUCCUGGAGCAGGAUGACAAUGGUUCCCCCCUCAUGCAUCUGUACUACUUCUUUGCAUGUGGCUAGUGAGCCAGAACAAGUUAUUAACAGGGGUACUAAGAGAAGCAGAAAACAAACUUAAGAAGACAUCCUCAACUUCAACUGAUUAUUCCCAUGCUCAACUGGAUUUAGUUAAUUUCUCCAAAGAAGCACAAUAUUUUAUUGGAAUGACUUCUUUCCCUGAGUCAUUCAUUUAUCUAUUUAAUAUUCAUUGAGCACUAAUAUAAAGCCAAUUGCCUACUGACACUGGUUGAUUGAUAGUCAAAAAAGUCAUCUUGCCUGCCUUCAAAUUGUGCACCGUUUAGUAUAGAAAAGAGUACAUAACAGCCAGGUUACAUAAGAGAUAUGCCUAGGGUAUCAUGGAAACAUAUAGGAAGAAAACUCGAUGGGUGAAGCAACCAAAAAAUUAUCAUACAGAAUGUAAUAGGUGAUAUGAAUCAGGUGCAGCAGAGGGCAUUCCUGCAUGAGAUAACCCCAGAAACAGACAACAGUAUGUAUGGAAAUGAAGAAUACAUUUUUAAAUAGUUAAAUAUGAGGUUUCUUGGGAUAUCUAGAUCAAGCUAUUUGGUAGACAAUUGGAUAUAAAAUCUGAAGCUUAGGGCAAAACAUGAGGGAGAUAUACAGCUUUCAGCAUAUUCUGCAAUUGAAACCAUAAGAGCUAGCAGGCUUUCCUUUGAGCAUGGUGCAGAACAAGAAGAUUAAAGAGGCAAAGUCAGGAUGCUAGGAGAAUGCCUGCACGGAAGGGCAUGAGUAAAGAGAAAAAGCCCAGGAAGGCAGCAGGGGAAGACUCAUCUAAGGAGCACAAGGUGACAUGAGUGUAUUAUGGAAGCCAAGAUGGUGGAUGUUUCAAGGCUCUAAUCACCAACAGAUUCAAAUAUACCCAAGGAGUAUGGCACCCCUCUUUGGAGCUGGAGGGCAAUUGACAACAGACUAAAGCUCCGUGAUCCUGUCCUUAGAGGACCUUUAAUUUCAAAGCAGAUCAAGGAGCCCCAACCUUCCAGUAGAGUCGCUCCUGAACACAGUCAGAGCGUAUUUCCAGGAUUGUAAGGGUUCAGAGAAUUUACUACCCCUAAAUGGACACCAAAAAACACAAUAUAAAACAAAGACUCACCACUGCUGGAAGCAUCAUUCAGAUUUAGCAGUCCCCCUCCUAGCCCUCUGUAACUGUGGUAACUGUAGGUCCCAUUUCCAUUGAUGUACAACACUUCCUGUGAGCCCGAGACAGCUGAGGUGGAGUAAGUGGCCUGGGCCGCCUCUGGUUUGCACUGCUUGUCAGCUGGAGCAGACUCGUCCUGCAAUGACAACAACAUUCCAUUAGUUAUCAAAUCACUCGUGCUAUUUCACCUUGAACUGGACUAUCUUAUUGUUAUCUACAUUUCUGCAAAAGAAAUUGAAUAAGAAAAAAUAUAUGGUCAACAUUAAGUCAACACAUACACACAUUUUCAACCACUUUGCUAAAAACAAAAAAAGAAAGCAAAGUAACAAUGUGAGACAAAUUGGAGAUGAAGCAAUUUACAACUUCCAACUGAACUUAAAAUUACAUUAAGAGAGUUGUUCACAACAGCCAAGAGAUAGAAUAAAGCUAAAUGUCCAUUGACAGAUGAAUAGAUAAAGAAAAUAUGGUAUAUAAACGUAAGGGAAUAUUAUCCAGCCUUGAAAGAAGGAAAUCCUGUCAUAUCCUACAAUUUGGAUGAAACUUGAGCACAUAAUGCUAAGUGAAAUAAGCCAAUCACAAAAAGGAGUCUAAAUUAUGCAGAUGAACUACAGUUUCCUUCUCCCUCCUAUGCCUUUUGUGGGCCCUGGCAAAGGGAAUGAUGGGAGGCAGUCCUGCGCGGAAACCAGUGGACAGCACGUAAGAACGCUCCAUUUCCGGUCAGCAGCUCAUCCAGAGUUGCAGUAAAAUGCUAGGCUGAGCCCUCCACUCUUUUUUGUCCAGAAUACUGGAGCAGAGCUUUUCUGACUUGUUGAAUCACGUCCUGUGUUACAAUGCAGGGGUAGACUGAAUUAUUCCUGGAAAGACUAAUGAGUCUGACUCCUCUUUGCAUUGGGCCCUGCGGCCACAGUGACAGCUCAGCCCCAGGUUCUCAUCUGUGCUUCAUGAACACAGCCUCUUGAGUUACUGGAUACAAAAGCAUCCAGUUCAUUUACUUCCUAUCUGAGAUUUGAAGAACAUGGGGGCCUGACAUGUCACAAAGAAAGGAGAUGUGGGCCCUUUCCUCCCCCUGAGCAGGUUGCUCAGAAAGGGAUUAAAGGAAGGAAUUUGAAGGCAGGGAGCCCUGAAGUUUAUCCCCUCAGUCUUGUCCCAGAUGAGUUCAGGCUGUUAAUGUGCUCACCUUCAUGCUAAGAUGCAUACAACUUUUCAGAACCUGCCUCAAGUGGGCGCCUCCAUAAUUAAUAAAUCUCUGAUGAAUUUUCUAUAGUGCUUUCAUAUUCAGAGAAAAGCAAUAAGGUAAGCAAAGAAACAAAAGAGAUAUAUACAUACAUAUGUUAAUUUUGGUUUGAUUUUAGAACAGACGAUACACAUUUAAAGCUUGGUCAGCACUUUAUAGCUAAUGAAUGGACAGUACCUUUCAAGAAGCAGCUCAUUAAUAAUUGGUUUCCUCCUCAUCAUUAAGAAGCACUUAUUAGUAGUCUAAUUACAGAUGGCCUCAAUUAGGGGAUAUGCACAGGGUUUUUUUUUCAUGAAUCACUGGAUUCUGUAAGAGCUUUGUGUCUAAAGCAGAAAGAACAUUUUUAAAUUUAUAUAGCAUUCCCAUCUUAGCAUCUAUUAGAACUAAUCAAAAUAUUUAGGAAAAAAUAAAAGAUUAAGAUUUUUUUUUAAAAAAAGAAGAGUUUUUGUAGGUGUGUGGAGGUGUGUAAAGUACUCACUAUGUUUGACAGCAACAACAUAAUCGAGUACAUAUAUUUGCUACAUUCAUGAAAGAGCAAAGCAUAUGUCAAUAGGGCUAAUAUUCAGCUUCUGUUUUGUAAAUUCCAUUUCCAAUGUUUGUACUCUCCACAUCUAUCAUUGAUUUCAGAUGACUAGCAUUUCUUCAUCUUUUGACAUAUAUUUCAUUUUGUAUGAAUUUGCACUAUGUACACUACAUAGGAGAGCAAGAAUCUGCCAGUCUCCUGAUGAUAAAACUCAUGUAAUUUAAAAAAUAAAUAUAGUGAAUAGAGACAUUGGCCCUACUUCAAAUCUUUAAAUCAAUAAAACUCAAAGAUAAUUUAUAAAUGUUUUUUUCGUUUAAAUAGCUUGGAGGUAGUUAUAUAUUUUGCAUUUAUAGGCACACUUUAAAUUCUAUGCUUUCAGUAGUUUUGUUGAUAAAUUAUUAGGUGUGACUCAUGGGCAUAAAGCCAUACACACAUUCUUCUAAAAAUGGAAUGUAAAACUUGGACUUAGUCCAUGUUAUGGGUUGAAUUUGCUAACACAAAGAAUCAGCAUUGAUGAUUUGGAGAAUUUUCCAGAUAGUGUGCUCUGGAAGCAGGGUGUGGCUGGAUAACUCUAUGCUAAACAGAUUAGCACAUUGUGUUACUGAUGGGUCCAAUCAACCAUCUGAGCAGGGCGAGAAAUAGAGACGAGAUGAUCCAGGAAGGAUGUGUGAAAAACCCUCAUGUCAAAUAGUGUGGGUCACCUCCACAUCCACGAAGACUGACACAGGCUUUUUUUUUUUCAGGGGAAGAUUCGCCCUGAGCUAACAUCUGUUACCAAUCUCUCCUUUUUAUUCCCUCCCCAAAGUGCCAGUGCAUGGUUGUAUAUUCUAGUUGUAGGUCCUUCUAGUUCUUCUAUGUGAGCUGCAGCCACAGCAUGGCAACUGACAGACUGGUGGUGUGGUUCUGUGACCAGGAAAUGAACCUGGGCCACUGAAGCAGUGAGUGACUAACUUUAACCACUAGGCCAUCAGGAUUGGUUUCUGACAAUGGUUUUGAAAAUUUUAUACCAGCAGAAAAACUGCAAUCCUGAACUUAAAGGGACAGAAAAUGGGAUGGGAUGAAAGAAGAGUGACUCCUACAGCAAAGCCAAAGAUGUAGAGACCAGAGAGGGCAGAACUGACUGAGGCUGGCUGAUCAAAUGUCCUCAGGCUGAGAGGGCAGGGCCACUGCCAAGGCAGGCCAAGAGGGUGGGGCUGCUACCCAGCUGGGCUGGGAGGACAGAGCAUGGAGCCACAGAUGAUGAUUCUCAGGCCUUGAAAUCUAAUGGAAUUUGUCCUGCUGGGUUUUGGACUUGCUUGGGACCUGUGACCCCUUUUCUCCCUUUUGGAAUGGGAAUGUCUAUCCUAUGUCUGUCCCAUCCUUGCAUUUUGAAAGCAUAUAAUUUGUUUUCUAGGUUUCACAGGUCCACAGAUGGAGAGGAAUUUUGCCCCAGGAUGGACCAUACUCUGAGUCUCACCCAUUUUGGACUUAAAGGUUUUAGAAAAUAAGAUUUGAGACUUUUUGAGUGGAUUAGAUUUAGUCUUACAGGCUGAAGACCGCAGUGCAGAGAACUUCCAAUGGCCUAAGUCAGCAGAAAAGUCUUCCUUAAGUUUUUCCUGGAGGAAAUAAUAUAGAAGAGCAUCUCUCUUCAAAUACCAUAUAUGGAUUUAGAUUAUAUUGAUAUACCCUCAAUUUUUGUGCCAUUGAAGUGAAUAUAUUUUUUGUUUUUAAAUACAUUCUUAAAGGGCGGAACUUCCUCCAGAGCCUGCAGUAGCACUGGUAUCAAACUGCUCUCUUCAGCCUGCUGCUCUGACAACUAUCCAGGGGCAAACGUCAGG
Molecule: long non-coding RNA, 5306 nt
Organism: Equus quagga
Lineage: Eukaryota; Metazoa; Chordata; Mammalia; Perissodactyla; Equidae
Exons: 10
Source: RefSeq, a predicted model, not a curated record